This 393-nucleotide transfer-messenger RNA is filed under the name Patescibacteria group. RNAcentral's name for it is "JAACPI01 sp009995545 X1 Standard tmRNA". It matches the Rfam family "transfer-messenger RNA". From Rfam's summary of the family: Bacterial tmRNA, also known as 10Sa RNA or SsrA, is named for its dual tRNA and mRNA-like properties. Its role is to liberate the mRNA from a stalled ribosome. The record is from RNAcentral. RNAcentral also lists the same sequence under 1 other name.
GGGGAUGUACAGGUUUCGCCUAAUAAAUGUUCCUUUAAAAAGCAAGCAGAGCCAAGUUAACUCUUAAAACUGACUUAAAAACAAUAAAUGCAAACAAAUUGCAAAAACUCGUAAAAGUUAGUGCUUAUGCACCAGCUUAUGCUUAAUUAUUAAGCUACGACAUUUUUUAUACUCUCUUUUAGCGGGGUUUAAAAAGUGAUAUAUUUGCUAAAAUAAAAAAGUGUUUUGACUAGAGACAUUUUUUUACAUAAAUCUAGUCAUUUGUAAUAAUCUUAAGAGCUUUUAGCUCGAAGGUAUUAUUUGCCUUACUUUGGGCCUUAUACAAAGUUAAGCUUGUAAUCUUUUUUUAGAUAUUUUAUUAACACGGGGGUUCGAUUCCCCCCAUCUCCACCA